ACAGGAUGAGUCAAGAAAACAAAUGAGCAUCUCAAGUCUUUAUUAUAAAGAUUCAAGAUGCUCAUUUGUUUCCUUGCCUUCCAAA
RNAcentral lists this microRNA precursor (85 nucleotides) under Anolis carolinensis (green anole). RNAcentral describes it as "microRNA aca-mir-5430 precursor". Lineage: Eukaryota; Metazoa; Chordata; Lepidosauria; Squamata; Anolidae. The record is from miRBase by way of RNAcentral.